AGAGUUUGAUCGUGGCUCAGGAUGAACGCUGGCGGCGUGCCUAACACAUGCAAGUCGAACGAAGCACUUUUACUCGAUUCUUCGGAUGAUGGUAAUAGUGACUGAGUGGCGGACGGGUGAGUAACGCGUGGGUAACCUGCCUCAUACAGGGGGAUAACAGUUAGAAAUGACUGCUAAUACCGCAUAAGACCACGGAGUCGCAUGACUCAGUGGGAAAAACUCCGGUGGUAUGAGAUGGACCCGCGUCUGAUUAGGUAGUUGGUGGGGUAACGGCCUACCAAGCCGACGAUCAGUAGCCGACCUGAGAGGGUGACCGGCCACAUUGGGACUGAGACACGGCCCAAACUCCUACGGGAGGCAGCAGUGGGGAAUAUUGCACAAUGGGGGAAACCCUGAUGCAGCGACGCCGCGU
RNAcentral lists this ribosomal RNA (412 nucleotides) under uncultured bacterium. RNAcentral's name for it is "bacterial SSU rRNA". It matches the Rfam family "Bacterial small subunit ribosomal RNA", at positions 8 to 402 of the family's 1533-position model. The record is from RNAcentral.